GUGCCCCACCUGGAUCCUCUUUACAGGCAGUGCGCCCACCCCCUGGCUGCUGUUUGUGUUGCCUGAUGACAAUUCACAGCUGCCCCUACUCCUGAAAAUAGUCCUCAGCCAAAUAGAAGUCUCCUUGCCCAGGAGGCAACACCCGCUACUGCCCAGGGCAGAUCUCAGCCAAUGGCAGCAGACUUAAUGGGACAAAAAGCUGGCCCCCUUGCCUGAAGCUGGGCUUAGUUUUACGGUGAAACUCCAGCCUCUCUGUGGAAUCAAACUGAAACUAAUCUUUAGCAGUCUUGUUGCUCAGGAACCAAACUUUAAGACAGCUGGCAUCAGAAAUGGUCUCAGGAAGCUGACUCUGAGGAUGGGAUUCUGGAGUUGGCUUGCUUGCUGGCUGGAUGGCAAUGAAGACCCCAUAGCUGAAGGACUUCCGAGACUGCAUGUUCUGGAGCAGAAGGAAAAAUACUACGGGUUGAGGAAUACAGAGGAGCUGCUGCGCAAGACGGCCACUGGAUGGCGCUGCUGUCCCACUCGCAGAUGACCUAAGCGUCUGAAUCGGGAAAUGGCUUCUAGCUCUUGGAAGCUCAAAGUCCCUGGAAAGCUGGAAGACUCACACAGUACUUUCUUAUUUUAAUUUUUUUUUUAAAAUAAAGCAGUGAUUAAAAGUUGCCACAAAGGCCAAUGUAAACUCUUUUCUCCUCAGAACAAAGGAUGUUUUCACUUUACCCCAAACUGGGGGCUUUCAGCUUAUCAAAAUCAACAGAAACGUUUUGGAAGCAGCUUCCAAGUUCAUCACUCUGGAUUGAGGUUCUGAGGGGUCCAGAAUGUGGAGGUGGAGAAUCUAGAUUGUAGAAAGUCAGCCUGAAAUAGCAGCCUGGACCACUGGAAAGUCCACAAAGGCAGGAAGGUCUUUGGAAUGAAGUGAAGCUAGAAGAAGCAUGAAUCCAGCAAUGUGAGCAGGCAGUGCCAGCCUAUGCGGCAGAACAGAGAAAAGAGGACUCCCUCAUUGACUGACUUUGCCACGAAGGUUUCCGAGUCUUCCUUCCAGGGCACCUUGGGAGGUCUGCAGCCCGAUGACUAGAAGCCCAACUGGGGCAUCUUUUCUUUAGCCAUCCAAGUCUGCAAAGGUUUGCCUUCUUUUGCCCAGGGCAUCUUUCUUAGACUCCUUAGCUACGCUUUCCACAGAAUUAUUAUCUGGGACUUCAAGUCUUGUAGUUCCUUGACAGCGAUUUUCUCAGGGCCUGAAAAAUUAUUUCUUCCAAAAAACUUGGUUCCCCGGCUGCCUCCUCAAAUUCAGCUAAACAGUUUGGUGGAAACCUCAGAGAUUAGGAUGAAAUUUACCAGAUACAGCAUGCUUUUUGGAAAUUUACCAGAUGUAGCACCUUUUGGGCUCAAAGACUAUUUCUGGAGAGAGAAAAAAAAAGUUCUUUGCUUCCACUAGAGAGCACCCUGCUCCACUGUAGCUAUUUUAGUCUGUCAGAAAUAUGGGUCCUAUUCCUUUCUCCCCCUCCACCCACCCUCAUCCAAUCAGGUAAUUUCCAUGAUAUAUUCAACCUGGUCACCUGUAAUCCAAUAAGACAGAGGUGAUAUAAACUCUGGCUGUGGGUAAUGUUUCUCAGUCAGACAUCAGACCCUAGGAAGGCAAAUAGGCUCAUGUGACAGAUGGCAGUCUGUGAAAAAAAAAAUCGACACAACUGUGCCCCUGGGCAUUUCCAGGCAAUCAAGCAUGUUGCAGAUUACUCUGAAAUGGGAUGCAUGCUGCCUGUAUGGACUACCCCACCAUACUGCUUGCUCCCACCAUGCCACCGCGGUGGUGUUUGGGGAAAUUCCAGGCCUCAGCCACCCUGCGGGGAGACCACAGCUGGAGAGCGCUCUGCCUGCUGUUUUAUGCAGGCUACUUGCUGAUUUGCAGCCAUAUCCCACAUAGGAAGCUGCAACGUGCUGCAAGAUGCUGAGUGUGCACCAAGCUUCGAGUUUGCCUCCCGGCUCCAGAGGAGAGCGGAGUGAUUGAUUGUAACACAACCAGGCAGCCCAUGCGCCUCCAAGCAUCUGUGUGCACACUAGUGGGGACUGCUGUGGGUGGUCGUGUAGUCAGGAGUCUGAUGAAAGCACCAGCCAAUGAUCCUGUGGUGCAGGUACAGCACAUGGAUCUGGAGUCCGUGCUGCAUUGUCCAGUGUGUGCACGGUAACACGUGUGCUGACGCUAUCUAACCUCCUUGAUUCCACACAGCAUCCCAGCAACGCAGCAUCUGUUCUGCUGCUCCAAAAAACCAACAUAUCGCACUGCCGUCACUGCCCAGCGUUACUGAGAUGGGCUUUUCGGUAUCACUUACAGUCAUCAACACCGAAUUUAAGCCAAUCUUGGCUGAAUGCUUUUAGGAAAGCCAAAGGGGCCAUAUUUUAGGCAUAAGUGUUCGGAAUCCAAACCACUUGAAUAUCUAUGUCAAGACAGAAGCAGAGGAGCCAAUAAAACAAAACAAAACAGAAAAACCAAUAAAGCCAAUUGGAUGUGACAACACUAACCAGAAAUGCUGUUUGGAAACAUUGUGAUCUCUUCUGGAAAGUGCUUAAAUAGCUGUGCGUGUGUCACCCACAGAAUAAAAGCAUUGUAAUAAUCCCUUUAGAACAAGGUUUGCCAGCUACAGCCAAAUCACUGGUUAAUUUUAGUAAAUCCUUUCCCUCCCUUAUCUCUCCUUUUUUCUCAUUCUCCCCAGUUUCCUGCUUUACGUUAUGGAUUUCUAAAGAUUCAAAAAUGCCUGGAGUCAAAAGCACAAUCCAAAAAAUAACAAGGAAUUGGACUUCACCAAAAUUAAGAAACUGCUCUUUGCAAGAC
This is a long non-coding RNA of Equus caballus (horse), 2824 nucleotides long. The record is from Ensembl. NCBI's taxonomy places the organism in Eukaryota, Metazoa, Chordata, Mammalia, Perissodactyla, Equidae.